AGCUGUGUGAGGACAGAACCAUCUCAUUUUCAUCCCCACUGUCGUGGCUAGAACAACCCAUCAGCAAACAACUGUUGACUGACUGAAUGAUUGAGGGAAUAAGUGAUUGAAGACUUGAAAACACAACAGGAUCAAAAUUGCAGAUCAGAGGCCUACAAGAGCCUGGAGGUCAUGAGUCAGAGAGGCAAAUAUGGAUCCUAUUUUUGAGAUGCUCACAGCCCAGAGGAGGCUGCUUCUACUCCAUGAGAACACUGAUGUUUAGGAUCAGUGGCAUUCCUUUACCUGCUGGGCAUGGAGCUUGACUACAUUUCCCAGACUCUCUUGAAAUUAGUAUCUUUGGCAAAAUGUUUUGCAUCCUUGCUUUUAUCAGUGGGGUUUUGGAAAUUGAAGAUGGGAUUUUCACUUGUGGAUCAACUUGGUGUAGAACAAAGAUGGCAUGUACAGAAGCAGGAAUCCAGAGGCUGAGACAUCUGAUGAAAAGAAUAGUAAACAGAGCUGCAAAAUCAGGAGCAUGGCAUUUGGACUUGACUCUGCAGGAUUGGAGAAAGAGAGAAGGGAACAAACCUGGACCUUCCCCAAGGAGGCUGUGAAGUGUCUUGGGAAGACUCUCAGCUACAUAGUUCAGAAGGGAUGCUGUUAUGCUGUGUCACUGACUGCCCCUCUGAGCAUGCCCACAGACCCUCUUCUGCCCCCUGGGCCCUACCUGUCACCACACCACCUCUACAAGAGCAUCCACCAGGAGGGCUAUUGACCGCUCCCACCUCUGACUGCUCCCCUGAGCAGUACCCCGGACACCAUCGCCUGGAUGUCCACAGGCCUCUGUGCUCCCUUCCCACACUCGCUUCUUCUCUUCUCUGCAUCUCAGCCCUCAGCAGCACCGGCCACCCACCCCCUGAGCCUGAAGCCUGGGAGUCCAUGGGCUCUUCAUUCAGCGUCCUGAAGCCCAGAGAGGAAGAGCGGUUUGCGAAGGCCUCCCAGCAAGUCCGGUGUGUUCAUACUAACGCAGAACAACUCUGCUCUUAGCCAUGAUUGGAAGGAAAUGCAGCUUCAGCAUGGACCCUUCCCCAUAGAUUCUGGCUCUUUCUGCUGCUGAAAUAAAAAAGAUGAACAAGUGAACUGUGUCACACAUCCAUGUGGAGCUGCAAGAGAGGCCAGGAAAUUGACCUUCACCCAUUCCUUUCCAAGUUUUAUACAAAAUUUAUACAAAAGGAAGUGCCAACAUCUUGGAGGAUUUCAGGACAGAUCCUAAUAGCCAGCAGUCUCUGCAUUGUAACAGUCAGAUGCAAGAAUCCUUGAAAGGCAUGCAACUCUCUAAAGCCGAGAACUGAAGCAGUUUUCCUCUAAACAUUUAUUACAAAUACAAGCGUUAUUUGUAUUCAGCACAGACCAAAGAGACUAAGCAGUUGGUCCUUUUUAUUGCCGUUGAAAUCUGGCCUGAUCUGGCAGCCCUUUUUAGAAUCACACGCUGAAUAAAGUUCCCAAGAUAUGUG
Long non-coding RNA from Suricata suricatta (meerkat), 1490 nucleotides. RefSeq lists it as uncharacterized. The record is from RefSeq and is a predicted model, not a curated record. The transcript has 7 exons. Lineage: Eukaryota; Metazoa; Chordata; Mammalia; Carnivora; Herpestidae.